Non-coding RNA from Acanthosepion pharaonis, 89 nucleotides. Lineage: Eukaryota; Metazoa; Mollusca; Cephalopoda; Sepiida; Sepiidae. The record is from the annotation of a GenBank genome assembly.
CCGUUCCGUUUACGAUCACCGAAGUUAAGCAACGUGGAGCCUGGUUAGUAUCUAGAUGGGUGGCCGCUUGGGAAUAGUAAGUGGUGUAA